AUACUGCCUGGCCCUUCAGACAGUGCUAGCGCUGACGCUAACCGCGGUUACCACGGGGAGGAGAGGGACCUUACAGCCAGCCAGAGGACGCAGAGCUCAUCGGAGGUCACUUUGCUUGGACAAAAGGAAAGGUACAUCUGGGAGAUUUGGUCCUUGAAGAAACACUUUAGUGCAGCAGCCGAAUCCAAGCGCCUAAGUUCUUGGAAUUAAAGAAAUCCAGUUUGACAUGUGAAAUUGCACAGGGUCUUUGACAACUGCAAGAAACGGACGGCCUGCUCUUAAAAGGCUCCUGUCACAGCAGCA
Long non-coding RNA from Conger conger (European conger), 303 nucleotides. RefSeq lists it as uncharacterized. The record is from RefSeq and is a predicted model, not a curated record. Lineage: Eukaryota; Metazoa; Chordata; Actinopteri; Anguilliformes; Congridae. The transcript has 3 exons.